This 413-nucleotide ribosomal RNA is filed under the name uncultured bacterium. RNAcentral's name for it is "bacterial SSU rRNA". It matches the Rfam family "Bacterial small subunit ribosomal RNA", at positions 505 to 916 of the family's 1533-position model. The record is from RNAcentral.
GUGUCAGCCGCCGCGGUAAUACGUAGGUGGCGAGCGUUGUCCGGAAUUACUGGGCGUAAAGGGCGCGCAGGCGGGUUUUUAAGUCAGAUGUGUAAUCUACAGGCUCAACCUGUAGUUUGGAUCUGAUACUGGAAAUCUUGAGUGCAGGAGAGGACAGUGGAAUUCCUAGUGUAGCGGUGAAAUGCGUAGAUAUUAGGAGGAACACCAGUGGCGAAGGCGGCUGUCUGGCCUGCAACUGACGCUGAGGCGCGAAAGCGUGGGUAGCGAACAGGAUUAGAUACCCUGGUAGUCCACGCCGUAAACGAUGGGUACUAGGUGUAGGAGGUAUCGACCCCUUCUGUGCCGGAGUUAACACAAUAAGUACCCCGCCUGGGGACUACGGCCGCAAGGCUAAAACUCAAAUGAAUUGACGG